This is a long non-coding RNA of Lemur catta (Ring-tailed lemur), 778 nucleotides long. RefSeq lists it as uncharacterized. The record is from RefSeq and is a predicted model, not a curated record. The transcript is spliced from 4 exons. Lineage: Eukaryota; Metazoa; Chordata; Mammalia; Primates; Lemuridae.
CGCAGCGGGGCGGCGCAGCAGGCGCGGGCGGGAGCGAGGCAGCAUCAAUGAACGGUCACCACAGGCAGCACGGGACAUCCUAACAGCUUUCACUGCUGCCUCACAGCCUCCGAACCGUGGAGGGGAGAUGAGGGCAAACAUCGAAGGAAAUUCCAGGGCAACUGCAGGCACACAUUACCCAGGAAGCUGAAGGCAGGAAGGCAACGCAUGGAAUCUCAAACUCAGAACAGCAGAAUGAAGAAAGGUGUUACCUGGCUUUGCUUUUGAAAAGAACAAAACAGUAUGUGUUUACAAAUGAUGGUUUUGGAACAAGAAUAGAUGUAAGCAGCUCAUCCGGCUUCCCAUUACGAGGCACUCCUGACACCGCCAGCUGAUGAACCAGGAUGUCAGGCUCCUUGGAGACGGCUGCACACACAGCUUCCCCAAUGCCGCCUGGGGAAGCAAGAGACACUGGGAUCUUUUCUGGAAGUGGCUAGUUAGCCUUAAAGCCCCAUCAUAUAGAGGCUUUUGAAUUUGCUGGUUCCCAGGGGAAAAUUUUUUUUACUAGUCAUUGAUCAUGUAAACAGUCAUUCUCAGACAGGCUGGAAGAGUUCUUCCUCUAAAGUUCAAGUCUCCAAAUUGCUCCCACCGCCCCCCUACCUACAGCAGCCGCUGCUCUCUACCUGGGCUCCAUGGAUGGGGAGCUUAGGUUCUUAAAGCUGUCAGGGAUCUGAAAAGGAUUAACACACUGCCACACUAGAAAAAAAAUGUUUUUCCUUGGGGCCAUGGUGUUGUAUUG